This 275-nucleotide ribosomal RNA is filed under the name uncultured bacterium. RNAcentral's name for it is "partial 16S ribosomal RNA". It matches the Rfam family "Bacterial small subunit ribosomal RNA", at positions 399 to 691 of the family's 1533-position model. The record is from RNAcentral.
GCGUGAGUGAGGAAGGCCUUAGGGUUGUAAAGCUCUUUCGGCGGGGACGAUGAUGACGGUACCCGCAGAAGAAGCCCCGGCUAACUUCGUGCCAGCAGCCGCGGUAAUACGAAGGGGGCGAGCGUUGUUCGGAUUUACUGGGCGUAAAGGGCGCGCAGGCGGUCAUUUUUGUCGAGUGUGAAAGCCCCGGGCUUAACCUGGGAACUGCGCUCGAAACGGGAUGACUAGAGAUCGGGAGAGGAGAGUGGAAUUCCCAGUGUAGAGGUGAAAUUCGU